This is a long non-coding RNA of Scomber japonicus (chub mackerel), 543 nucleotides long. RefSeq lists it as uncharacterized. The transcript has 3 exons. NCBI's taxonomy places the organism in Eukaryota, Metazoa, Chordata, Actinopteri, Scombriformes, Scombridae. The record is from RefSeq and is a predicted model, not a curated record.
AAGACGAGACGUGGCGGCGUUCAGGAAGAACCUCGUGGAGCUCGCGGAGCUGGAGCUGAAACACGCCAAGGGGAACCUCCAGCUGCUGCAGAGCUGUCUGGGCGUGCUUAAAGGAAACUCUUAACUGUGGAGCCCCGCCCACUUCCAACUGGACACGCCCACCCCAGAUGGACACGCCCGCCUCUUGCUGGACACGCCCACUUCUCUCUGGACACGCCCACCGCCGGCGGCGCCCGGACAGAUGGACGAACGACACCGAGACCUGUGGACCAGCAGAGAGAACGAAGGGUUAAAAACAGGAAGUCGUUAACCCGACACCCCCCUCCUCUUCCUCUUCACCCUCCUCUUCCUCUUCACCCCCAUCCCACUCCUUUACUGGUUCUACUGGUUCUACUGGUCUACUGGUCCAGCAGAGGACCUUCAUUUGAAGCUAUUUUUCUUUUAAACUGACACAGUUCCAGUUAGUCCAGUUAUUUACCUCCACUGGUCCCAGUUGGUCCCAGUUGGUCUCUGCUGGUCCCAGUUGGUCCCAGUUGGUCCCAG